RNAcentral lists this ribosomal RNA (474 nucleotides) under uncultured organism. RNAcentral's name for it is "partial 16S ribosomal RNA". It matches the Rfam family "Bacterial small subunit ribosomal RNA", at positions 332 to 798 of the family's 1533-position model. The record is from RNAcentral.
UACACUCCUACGGGAGGCAGCAGUGGGGAAUUUUGGACAAUGGGCGAAAGCCUGAUCCAGCAAUGCCGCGUGAGUGAAGAAGGCCUUCGGGUUGUAAAGCUCUUUUUCAGGGAAGAAACGGUGAGAGCUAAUAUCUCUUGCUAAUGACGGUACCUGAAGAAUAAGCACCGGCUAACUACGUGCCAGCAGCCGCGGUAAUACGUAGGGUGCAAGCGUUAAUCGGAAUUACUGGGCGUAAAGCGUGCGCAGGCGGUUUUGUAAGUCUGAUGUGAAAUCCCCGGGCUCAACCUGGGAAUUGCAUUGGAGACUGCAAGGCUAGAAUCUGGCAGAGGGGGGUAGAAUUCCACGUGUAGCAGUGAAAUGCGUAGAUAUGUGGAGGAACACCGAUGGCGAAGGCAGCCCCCUGGGUCAAGAUUGACGCUCAUGCACGAAAGCGUGGGGAGCAAACAGGAUUAGAUACCCUUGUAGUCCCAU